CUCAUGCAUAGCUUGACUUAGUAGUCAAAUGAUAUCAUCCAUGAAAUUUAUCUCCAGUCUUCUUCUCCCAUUAUGUGUGCUGGCUUCAUUCUCAGAUAGGUUCUCCUACUCUAUGCAGGAUUAAAUCCAGGAAAAAAGAAGAGAAAUAGCAAUUUAAAAAAAUCUUUCUCUUUUCUGAUCAAUCUCUCCUCUGAUUGGUUCAAACUGGCCCCACUGUGAUUUCAUAACUACCCUCACCACAAUGAUUAUAGUCAAGGGAAUGAAAUGUGUUUCUUGGCUUGGGCUUAAGUCUUACGCCCAUGUCUGGAACUGGAGUGGGAUCGGCCACAUUGAAAGAACACAGCCUGAGGGCAGGGAAGCUAUUGAGCCCCAGAGAGAAGUUAAAGUACUUUUCAUGAAAGAUCAUUGUCUGUUAAGACUCCAUCGCAGAGAAGUUAAAGAGCUUCAAUCACCAUGCUUUCAGGGUCAAUUUGUCUCCGAAAAGGAACAGAUGGGGAAGAAUUAUUCCAUUCACAGUUGACUUGUCAGAAAUUCUAAGAUCUUGGACUGGCUGAAAGCAAUGAUGUUGCCAUUCAUCCUUUCACGUAUUCAUUAUGGUCUACAGCUGAGAAGGGCUAUUUGGGGUUUGCUUUGCCUGAUGGUAGCAGAAGAAAACCAAGAGGCCUCUCUACGAAAGCUUGCAGUAAGGAGAAAGGUAAAAUGUUAAGUCUAAAGAGAACCAAAGAAAUUACCUGGUCCAACCUUUUCAUUCUACAAGUGGGAAAACUUGCUGAAAGUUGCUUAAUUUUUCUGGAUCUGAGGCACACAGUUCAUUUAUUAU
RNAcentral lists this long non-coding RNA (820 nucleotides) under Pan troglodytes (chimpanzee). RNAcentral describes it as "lncRNA (ENSPTRG00000052950.1)". Lineage: Eukaryota; Metazoa; Chordata; Mammalia; Primates; Hominidae. The record is from RNAcentral.